Long non-coding RNA from Ipomoea triloba (trilobed morning glory), 559 nucleotides. RefSeq lists it as uncharacterized. Lineage: Eukaryota; Viridiplantae; Streptophyta; Magnoliopsida; Solanales; Convolvulaceae. The transcript has 2 exons. The record is from RefSeq and is a predicted model, not a curated record.
UGUCUUCGGCCCUUCCCAAUUCGCAGUGUCUUCGACGGUUCGGCCCUUCGCAAUUCACAAUUUGAAAAUAGCAAAUCACAGAUUCGCAAUUGCAAAGCCAAAGAUACAAUGGUCGCAACGAGUCAUUUGGAAAUCUUUUGGAGCAUAAAGGAACGAUGUUAGAGGCCGGGGGAGUUCACUCAAGGAGAUCCGGAGCAAAAAACAUGGAAGAAGCUGGAAAUGCCAGCCAUAUGGCCUCUCAUACGGCCAUAUGGCUGGUCGUAUCGCCCCGUGGCCUGGAGGAAACCAACAGCCUACCAUAUGACCUCUCAUACGGCCGUAUGGAAGGCCGUAUACCCGAUACUCUGUACAGUAUUUAAGCCAUUUUUCUGCAUUUUGUACCCAAGUUCGAACCCUAGCUAGUUUAGAACUAAUUUUUCUUCAUUUCCUUAGAAUUUAUUAGCUUAGUAUAGCUUAGAUUUAUAUUGGAGAACACAACUUGGAGCUUGUAUUGAAGAUUUGGAGUGGAUUCCACCAACUCUUCCCCUUCAUUUCAUAUUAAAAGUGGUUUAUUUCUUCA